Molecule: ribosomal RNA, 253 nt
Filed under: uncultured bacterium
Lineage: Bacteria
Also listed under: 1 other name
Description: partial 16S ribosomal RNA
Rfam family: Bacterial small subunit ribosomal RNA
Source: RNAcentral
UACGUAGGGUGCAAGCGUUAAUCGGAAUUACUGGGCGUAAAGCGUGCGCAGGCGGUUGUGUAAGACAGGUGUGAAAUCCCCGGGCUUAACCUGGGAAUGGCAUUUGUGACUGCACGGCUAGAGUGUGUCAGAGGGGGGUAGAAUUCCACGUGUAGCAGUGAAAUGCGUAGAGAUGUGGAGGAAUACCGAUGGCGAAGGCAGCCCCCUGGGAUAACACUGACGCUCAUGCACGAAAGCGUGGGGAGCAAACAGG